UGUGGAUAUAUACAGCGAAAUUAGCUCUAAAAAUCUUGUUACUUUUUCCACGGCACACACACACACGCACGCACGGGCGCACUCUUACACUCGCUCAAUAAUUAAUUGCAGCUCAAGAGAGCGUGUUGCCAACACCAACACCAAAAACAGUAACAACAAUCGUCGACGUUGUGAUUUUACGCAUUUGCUCUGCCAUAUUGCACAUUAGAGGCAGAAGGAAAGAAAAAGAGUUGGGUUCGUUUAAAAGUAAAUGCAGCACUGUACUUUUCAAAAGUUUAAUUCUAACUUUACAUUAGUUACUAGACAAAUUCUGUGUAUCUUCUCCGCACAAUUAGCGGCAUUAUCUUAACUUUUCCAAGCGUGUGGGAUCACAAUAUUUCAUUUCCUUUUUUCUUUUUUUUGCUAUGAUGGCGACCACGGCAGCGACGCAACGCACUUUACAGCGCUGUCGGGCCGCUGCUGCUAGCGUAUGUAUGUAUGUAAUUCAUGCGCCAGAUACGCGAUUCACAUAAUUUUGCUCGCUUGACUUUUACACUAUCCGCCACGCAACUGUUUUUGUUCUAUGCGACCUGGCAGAAUCGUACCAUUGUUAUUAUUAGAAGAAUUUUCACUUUUAACUACAAAUUUUUUCGGCCGUCAACUGCGCUGCCAGCACGAAGAGCACACACAUGCAAACAUUUUUCUUUGAUUAAAUGCGGGGGGUUGUUCGCCCUAAGGGCCAUUACAGGGCUUACAAUAUCAACUUUUCUUACAUUUUUCGAUGAACUUCCUUCAUGUAUAUCGACUGUAUCAAGUUAGUGUAUGCAUUUUAUUCGCUUUACGUUGCUAAUUAAACAUUUUCAGCCAUCAGUAAAUCUCAAAAACUCACGCACGCACACACACUUAAGCACUUGCACAGGCUGGGGAAAAACUCACAGUCGUCAUAAAUAGGUAGCAAUAACCGCGCACGCUUGGCAAAAAGAGCUGAAUGUUCCAUAAAACCACCGAGCACAGCACAGCACUUGCAAACUUGACUAAAUAUGUAUUUAUUUUUUUUAAUUCCUCUUGCGUUCUGCGUUUUUUCCUCCUGCUACAUGUGUCCAGUGUGACGGCACCGUCCGUCCCUCAGAAAUAUACCUUCUUAUUUACAAAAUAUACCUUAAAUAUACCGACGGAAAAGCGAACUUAACCCACUGUCAAUUUCGAAAGGUGAACAGAUUGAGGUAAACCGCUAAAAAUAAUACUGAAUGUAAAUUCUUCUUGUUGACCAAUCCUUUCUCUUUCAUUUCAACAAAAAUUACCAAGAUAUCUUUCACCUGAAUUGCACUAAAAUUGUAUCAAGUUUCAAUAUUUUCCAGGAGUGUAUUUUAAUACGCAAUGUUUUACAAUGGGUUAAUCGUUCUGAGUCCAUGAUCGGAAAUCAUAAUUCACGAUUUUGCUGUUCGAUUUAAUAUUACUAGGACUGACUAUUGGAA
Drosophila pseudoobscura is the source of this 1454-nucleotide long non-coding RNA. RefSeq lists it as uncharacterized. NCBI's taxonomy places the organism in Eukaryota, Metazoa, Arthropoda, Insecta, Diptera, Drosophilidae. The record is from RefSeq and is a predicted model, not a curated record. The transcript has 3 exons.